This 303-nucleotide ribosomal RNA is filed under the name uncultured bacterium. RNAcentral describes it as "bacterial SSU rRNA". It matches the Rfam family "Bacterial small subunit ribosomal RNA", at positions 29 to 334 of the family's 1533-position model. The record is from RNAcentral.
AACGAACGCUGGCGGCAUGCUUAACACAUGCAAGUCGAACGAGGGCCCCUCUUCGGAGGGUUACCCUAGUGGCGAACGGGUGAGUAACGCGUGGGGACCUGCCCCGGAGUGAGGAAUAACCGCUGGAAACGGCGGCUAAUACCGCAUAAUUCUCUGGACUUUGUUCAGAGGGAAAGGCUUCGGCCGCUCUGGGAUGGACCCGCGUCUGAUUAGCUAGUUGGUGGGGUAAAAGCCCACCAAGGCGACGAUCAGUAGCUGGUCUGAGAGGAUGAUCAGCCACACUGGGACUGAGACACGGCCCAG